UGGGGAAUUUUGGACAAUGGGCGAAAGCCUGAUCCAGCAAUGCCGCGUGUGUGAAGAAGGCCUUCGGGUUGUAAAGCACUUUUGUCCGGAAAGAAAUCCUUGGCUCUAAUACAGUCGGGGGAUGACGGUACCGGAAGAAUAAGCACCGGCUAACUACGUGCCAGCAGCCGCGGUAAUACGUAGGGUGCAAGCGUUAAUCGGAAUUACUGGGCGUAAAGCGUGCGCAGGCGGUUUGCUAAGACCGAUGUGAAAUCCCCGGGCUCAACCUGGGAACUGCAUUGGUGACUGGCAGGCUAGAGUAUGGCAGAGGGGGGUAGAAUUCCACGUGUAGCAGUGAAAUGCGUAGAGAUGUGGAGGAAUACCGAUGGCGAAGGCAGCCCCCUGGGCCAAUACUGACGCUCAUGCACGAAAGCGUGGGGAGCAAACAGGAUUAGAUACCCUGGUAGUCCACGCCCUAAACGAUGUCAACUAGUUGUUGUGGAUUCAUUUUCCUUAGUAACGUAGCUAACGCGUGAAGUUGACCGCCUGGGGAGUACGUCGC
This 541-nucleotide ribosomal RNA is filed under the name uncultured bacterium. Its description in RNAcentral is "partial 16S ribosomal RNA". It matches the Rfam family "Bacterial small subunit ribosomal RNA", at positions 355 to 889 of the family's 1533-position model. The record is from RNAcentral.